GGUGGUGCAGGCUGGUGCAAGUUGUCCGUUGUACUCUGUGCUGCCGCUGGCAGGCUUCUGGGGCCUGAGACGGCUACGUCUCCAUGCUCGCUCGGCCCUGCCCGCCAUCAGCCCUCAGAGGCCUCUCGCUUUCCUCAGAGGUGAGGAACUAGAGGACUGCUAAAGGUGUAGAUGGGGGCCGGGGAAAAAGUAAGGCUGAUUCCUCUACCUCAGUGGGUUCCCGGAGCUGCUUUUCUAUUUCACGGGAUCUUAAAGCGGUUUAGCCUCUGAUGUCACUAGCGGGUGCCGGGAAGAAGCUUACGACCUCGCCAGUCCAGAUCCCUGGGCCUCUGGGUUAAGCAUAGCCAGCUGUAAAUACCCGCGGAGGCCGGCCAAAGUGGCAGAGGAUAUCUUUCUGAACACAAGGAUAGCCCUGUGAGAAUCCUCAGUCAUCUUCCAGCCUUCUGAGUACUAAUAUUAAAAGAACGAGCUACCA
Molecule: long non-coding RNA, 475 nt
Organism: Rattus norvegicus (Norway rat)
Lineage: Eukaryota; Metazoa; Chordata; Mammalia; Rodentia; Muridae
Exons: 2
Source: RefSeq, a predicted model, not a curated record